Molecule: non-coding RNA, 1464 nt
Organism: Megalopta genalis
Lineage: Eukaryota; Metazoa; Arthropoda; Insecta; Hymenoptera; Halictidae
Source: RefSeq, a predicted model, not a curated record
UUUAACAUCAAUUUAAUUUGUGUGAAAAUUAAAUUUUACCUCGCGCCAAGUCAUAAUUUCAUGUAGAAUAUCUCUAUCAAAUUGUGUAUAUAUAUAUAUGAUAUAAAAUAAUGAUACCAAGUAAAAGAAUGGUGUUCGUCUUUUAUGAUGCUUGGUUUAUUUGUACAGAAGUAAUAUAGGACGCAUGGAAGUAAUUUAUGAAAUACUGGAAGUUCAUAUAAAGUACAGAUGUUUAUUAAUAACAUACUGUUUUAUAUACAUACAUCUUAGAAAUAUAUUUACAUCGUGUGAUGUCAAAUGUGGGUACAUAUAAAAAUAUUUUAAUUCACGUAUUUACAAAAUAUUUUAUAUUUAAUAAAGCACUCUUUACUUUAAUUAUUGUUCUUAAGAUCGUUUUCAUUUCUUAGCGUUUUAUUAAAAUUGAGCAAAUAGAUAAAAAAUACGCUUAAUCUAUUCUAGCACAGUUCGUUGUUUGAAGCGUUCUGAUGGAGUUAACAGGUAAAUAUAAGAUAUCUACUACUUAAGCAAUGGUGUAUUAAUCCCUUGCCGUACCAUUUUCUUCACAGUUAUAAUGAUUAGAACUUUUACUAUUGUAAUCAUUUUUUUAGAUGAAACAGACAAUUUAAGUAUAUUUAUUGUGUGCUUACAUUUAGUUGAAUGCGCAAAUAUUGAUACCAAGAGAAAACAAUUUUAUUUCGCGACUCGAAGAGACAGAAUAACAUUCUUAUUUAACUCCUUAACAGUUUUCAAUCGUAUAAACUUUAUUAAAUUCGAAACUACGUUUAAUUUUUUAUGCGUCCACAUGAAGGGAAUAAAAGAACGUUAGUCGUCUAUCCACAAUUAUGUGGAAACGAGUUCAAAAAUUGAUUUAUGACGCGUAUAGAUGGAGAUUGUUAUGCGUUAAGGGAUUAACAGAUUAUUACUAAAAAUCGCCAUCAUUCAGUAGUUAACACGUUAAGUGUCAUGUUAGGCACCGAUGACCGACGAUAUCAAGUAUAAAAAAUUAUAUAUUCCUCUGCAUAAAUAAAUUCUAAAUAAUUUGGUUACCAUAAAAGAAGGUUUCACGGUAUGUUAUAACGCGGGUUAAAUGGAAAGGAAGAGAAAAGAGGCUUUUGGCACUCAAUGUGUUGAACUCGUCAAAGUACGGCAAGGGGUUAAUGUCGAAUUAUUAAACAAUGUUCUUUGCUUUUGCGGCUAUUGCAUGUUUCCCGCAAUUUAAGAAGUAUAUAAAUUACGCAUUUAAUAUGUGUCUACUUAUUGAUAUAUAGUCAGAUUUCUAUGAAAAAAUUAGAAAGAUAUUCCACUAUAGAGAAAAUGAAAAAGAUACUUAAACUUAUCUAUAGGAACAGAAAUAUUAUACAAUUUAUACUGUACAUGAAAGGAAUGUGAAAAGCGGAAAUAGAAAAGUAGAUAUGUUGUAUAAGUGAAACUGUACAAAUAAAUAAAUUUUGCGACUGACAUUUA